RNAcentral lists this ribosomal RNA (124 nucleotides) under Pteropus alecto (black flying fox). Lineage: Eukaryota; Metazoa; Chordata; Mammalia; Chiroptera; Pteropodidae. The record is from RNAcentral.
GUCUACGGCCAUACUACCCUGAAUAAAUCCAGUCCGAUCUCGUCUGAUCUCGGAAGCUAAGCAGGAUCGGGCCUGGUUAGUACUUGGAUGGGAGACCACCUAGGAAGACCAGGUGCUGUAAGUG